Tupaia belangeri chinensis (Chinese tree shrew) is the source of this 697-nucleotide long non-coding RNA. RefSeq lists it as uncharacterized. The record is from RefSeq and is a predicted model, not a curated record. The transcript is spliced from 3 exons. Lineage: Eukaryota; Metazoa; Chordata; Mammalia; Scandentia; Tupaiidae.
GGAGUUAGAUAGAUAUUCGUAAUUUAAAAGGAUUCUUUUCUUUCUUACCUGCCUACACAGAAAUCUAAGGUUCAAAGGUCUGGGAUGAAAGUUUCAGUGACCUCGUGGGAGGACAAGGAAGACAUGAUGAGGAUUAUAACAGCUUCUACUGAUAACUAGUCCUUUUGUCAAGAGAAGCCUUGAUUUUGUUCAUCCUCUUCAAAGUAUACCCUUCCCAGGAAACUGGGACUCUAAACUCCUGGGGGAAAAUGAAUUCUAAGCCACCAAAAAAUUGAAACUGCUCAAAUGUCCAUCAAGAGUAAAAUGGAAAAAUAAUUGCAGAACAUUCACCAGAUGGAUUACUAUAUAGCAAUGGAAAUAAGCAACCUAUACUAACUCUUAUCAGCAUGGAUGAAUCUCCCAGAAUAAUGUGCAUGACUCUCUCAAAAUGAUCUUGGCGCCAUAAUACAUAACCACUUACAAAAGAGUUCAUAUUGUAUUUUUCCAUUUACAUAAAGCAUGCAAAACUUACAUAUCUAGAGAGUUGCUACCCUUUGGUUGCAGUGGGGAUGAUGAGGCAGGGUUGAUGAGGAUGAUGAUGACAGAUGGCCCAAGGGGAGCUUUUAUAGUGUGAUACAGUUAGUUUGAGCACUAUUGGUACUGACACAUUUCUUAAAAGUCCAAAAGGAAUAAGAGUAAGAUAAAAAAUGGUAUGUGA